GACGAACGCUGGCGGCGUGCUUAACACAUGCAAGUCGAACGGAAAGGCCCUGCUUUUGUGGGGUGCUCGAGUGGCGAACGGGUGAGUAACACGUGAGUAACCUGCCCUUGACUUUGGGAUAACUUCAGGAAACUGGGGCUAAUACCGGAUAGGAGCUCCUGCUGCAUGGUGGGGGUUGGAAAGUUUCGGCGGUUGGGGAUGGACUCGCGGCUUAUCAGCUUGUUGGUGGGGUAGUGGCUCACCAAGGCUUUGACGGGUAGCCGGCCUGAGAGGGUGACCGGCCACAUUGGGACUGAGAUACGGCCCAGACUCCUACGGGAGGCAGCAGUGGGGAAUAUUGCACAAUGGGCGGAAGCCUGAUGCAGCAACGCCGCGUGCGGGAUGACGGCCCUCGGGUUGUAAACCGCUUUCGCCUGUGACGAAGCGUGAGUGACGGUAAUGGGUAAAGAAGCACCGGCUAACUACGUG
RNAcentral lists this ribosomal RNA (468 nucleotides) under uncultured bacterium. RNAcentral describes it as "partial 16S ribosomal RNA". It matches the Rfam family "Bacterial small subunit ribosomal RNA", at positions 28 to 507 of the family's 1533-position model. The record is from RNAcentral.